GGUGGAAAGGUUUUCCGGUGCAGGAUGGGCCCGCGGCCUAUCAGCUUGUUGGUGGGGUAACGGCCCACCAAGGCGACGACGGGUAGCCGGCCUGAGAGGGCGACCGGCCACACUGGGACUGAGACACGGCCCAGACUCCUACGGGAGGCAGCAGUGGGGAAUAUUGCACAAUGGGCGCAAGCCUGAUGCAGCGACGCCGCGUGAGGGAUGACGGCCUUCGGGUUGUAAACCUCUUUCAGUACCGACGAAGCGCAAGUGACGGUAGGUACAGAAGAAGCACCGGCCAACUACGUGCCAGCAGCCGCGGUAAUACGUAGGGUGCGAGCGUUGUCCGGAAUUACUGGGCGUAAAGAGCUCGUAGGCGGUUUGUCGCGUCGUCUGUGAAAACCCGCAGCUCAACUGCGGGCUUGCAGGCGAUACGGGCAGACUUGAGUACUGCAGGGGAGACUGGAAUUCCUGGUGUAGCGGUGAAAUGCGCAGAUAUCAGGAGGAACACCGGUGGCGAAGGCGGGUCUCUGGGCAGUAACUGACGCUGAGGAGCGAAAGCGUGGGUAGCGAACAGGAUUAGAUACCCUGGUAGUCCACGCCGUAAACGGUGGGCGCUAGGUGUGGGUUUCCUUCCACGGGAUCCGUGCCGUAGCUAACGCAUUAAGCGCCCCGC
Molecule: ribosomal RNA, 661 nt
Filed under: Rhodococcus sp. RKEM 42
Lineage: Bacteria; Bacillati; Actinomycetota; Actinomycetes; Mycobacteriales; Nocardiaceae
Description: bacterial SSU rRNA
Rfam family: Bacterial small subunit ribosomal RNA
Source: RNAcentral